CGGGACGGGUGAGUAAUGUCUGGGAAAUCGCCCGAUGGAGGGGGAUAACUACUGGAAACGGUAGCUAAUACCGCAUAACGUCGCAAGACCAAAGAGGGGGACCUUAGGGCCUCUUGCCAUCGGAUGUGCCCAGAUGGGAUUAGCUAGUAGGUGGGGUAACGGCUCACCUAGGCGACGAUCCCUAGCUGGUCUGAGAGGAUGACCAGCCACACUGGAACUGAGACACGGUCCAG
RNAcentral lists this ribosomal RNA (233 nucleotides) under uncultured bacterium. RNAcentral describes it as "partial 16S ribosomal RNA". It matches the Rfam family "Bacterial small subunit ribosomal RNA", at positions 100 to 334 of the family's 1533-position model. The record is from RNAcentral.